CCAAUCCCCAGCUGGCAUCGGGCAAAAGGUGAGGUACACCCUGGUCAGGUCGCCGGUCCAUCGCAGGGCCGUUUUGAGUGCUAUGAUUGUGCUGAGCCAGCAGCCCCAGAUGUGGUCUGCUGGGAGCCAUCAACCAGGUCGACCAACACCUGGACAGUCUGGGCUAGCCGACUUAGCCCCUCGUCCUCCAUGAUGAGCUGGGGGCAACACAAGGAAUCCUGCGAUGGGAAGAAGAGAGGAGUGAGCGGAUCUGGUAAUAUACAGUACAUUCUUUUGUUUGCAUGGUCAUUUUUUAAAAUAUUAAAUGCUGCCUCUGAUAAUAGCAGUCUGUUUAUGGCUGAAGAAAGUCCAGCCGUAACCACUGGAUGUGCUCAUCCAGGGAGCAAACUGGUUUCUUAGAGUUUAGACAUUGACAGACCUGAAGUAAUCUCCAGACUGUCUGUGAAGUGAAAUGUGACUAUACUAGACAAGUGGGUGGUGAAGGAGCUAACACGUUUAUAAAACGGGCUCAAUGGCAUCCUGUAGCAAGGCAUGUAAUUUCAAUCUCAUGUAAAGUGGAUAUCAAACAUCCCCCCACUGUCAGAUGUUAGUGUUUACUGCCUCCAGGCCUGAAAUGAAAAGCCAUUAAAUGAGACUUGCUUCCACUUUCCUUUGGAACAAGCAACCAGGCAGAUCUAAAUAAAAACAACCACAUACUCAGUUAUGUUGUAAAAUGGAACUGCUUAAUGGAAAAAUGCCAUUUCUGGUUCGACUUAGUGGUUCAUUCAAACCCUAGCAUUCAGGAAUUCAGUGGAUGUGUGUUAGUUGUUUAAAUAACUAUAGGCUAGAGUGGCCAGUGUGAACACGGCUCAGUAAAUGAGGUAAUACCUCAGUUGUCCCUGGGCCCUGUUCUCUAAACACAGCGUAACUAAUCUUAUAGUUGUUGUACCAAAUCUCAGCUUUUACAGUGAAUGUGAAUGGAUUUGUAGUUGCUCCUGUGUGACUGAUGUCUGCUGCAGGAUUUUUCAAGUUUCUUCAUUUCACACAGUCAGAUGGGCCCCUGGAUCGCCCUUAGUGACCCCUGAAACCUCUAGAGGAACUCUUAGAUUCCCCAGUAUGUCUCAAAUAAAAGAUUAAAUCUCCGUUAUCAGUGCUGCUGCCUCUGUAGCAAUUAUUUAACUGGUUUACCCCGAAAGUCUGAUUGUUGCUGUAGCCACAGCCUGACGCUCUGUGAUGAGCUGCCAUUCCAGUGAUGUGUCGGGGUGGCAGGCAGGCUGAAGUGAUGCAGAGGUAAAAUCAAAAAGGCGACAGCACAAAUUAUUGCGUCAACUGCUGGUGAGUUCUUUGACCUUGGUUUAACAUCACUCCUCUGCUCCAACACAGGCCAGCUUGAUUCAUGAACCUGCUGUUUGGAGAGCACACAGCAGCUCUCGAGGAGGGUAAAGCACGGGGUACAGUGGAAUCACGCCAGCGGACUAACAAACAACAGCGACUGGAGAGGAGGUUUGGACCACAGCAGAGAGAUGGGGACAUGAAACAGCCUGGUGGCCAAAUACAGCCAGUGAGUUGUACACUGAGGUGAGUAAGCACUUUAAACCGAGUUAGAGAGCUUUACUGAAGAAUGGCUUUUUAUUUUGGGCCCCAGAUAUUGUUUAAUAGUGUUAUAUAAAUAAAGACAUUACUAAAUAAAUCUUCAUACAAAUAAAAUGUAUAAAGUAUAAAUGAACAGGUAAUUUGGAAAAAAUUGUAAAACAAUGAGAAUUAUUCAAACUCACUACGAGGAAAUGUUAUUUCAUUAUUCACGCAAUGUGUAGUGUGUGUAGUCCAGUCCGUUGAGUCAGCACCAUGUCAAUGCAGGGUGGGCCUGUGAAUCCAAACUAGUCACGUCUCGUUUUCUAAUCAGUGAUACUCAUAAAUGGAUGAACAGGAUUCCCGCUGUCCCUACCUACUAUCCAUAGCAAAGGGCUCUGGGCUUGGCAGAAGACCUUGCUGAGAUGUCACCACUGUAAUAUAACGUGACAAGCAGUAUCAUUAUGAUCUUACUGUAGGUGACAUGAAAUAAAAGCGUGAAAUAGCCAUCCUGAAAUACAGCUGACUUUUAAAAGGGGGAACUAGAGUGUGAAAUCAACUUUAACUCAAACUUUCUUCAAAAUUAGAUUGAAAUCAAACUGUAAUAAGCUUAUAGUAACUUCUUCUUGGUUAACCUAUAUGUUGUAGGUAAAUUCAUUAAUGACUUUGGUGCUGCACAUUAAGAAAAUCAGUCCUGCUCAAAUAUUUUAGUAGGGUAGGACCCAGAUAGAGUUGUGACAUGGGGACAAUAUCAGUACUGUUCACCUCUAAUAUUAUGUUUCUUUAGAUCAUUUAUUCAUUUAAAUUUCCCUAUGAAUUCAUGUAGAUGAGCCCCUUAGUUACUUCAUGUUUUAGUACAAAGUUUUUGUCCCAUUAUAAUUUUAAAUGUUAGUUUGGAGGCCUCAGAAUUAUGUAUAGAACAGCGCUGACUAUUGACAUUAGCCCCACAGUCAAAUAAGCAUCAUAAUCAGGUUCCAAUGCAUGUUUAGCUGCAGACAUUGACCUAUGCGCAGUGAGCCAGACAGCGUGUGGUAGAAACAGCAGAGACCAUGUGAGGCUCUGUUAAUCGUGUAGCCUCUAGGGAAUCAAUUAUUUACCCAUCUAAAGAAGGGGCAAACUUUUAAACAAUGUUAUUUUAAUUCUAAAUAACUAUCGAUUACUUCUGGCUUAGCCUUUUGUGUGAUUUGAAGCACACAUAAAUUUCACAAAGCUUUACUUGGCUUUAUCAUGAGUGGCUUAUAGGCUUAAACUAAUAAACCCUCUGCUGUUUCACCAAAGAAACAAGAGUAAACAAAAACAGAACAAAAUAAAUAAAACCAAUAAUUUAAUAACCUGUUUACAUUUAUACAAACAUUAGCUGGUCAACUGGACCAGUGACGACGACAACAUUAGUUUACACACAACCUCCUGGAGAGGUUUGUACCGUCACUUUGGACACACGAAGCCUUGAAGGGGAUUGAUGUGGCAACAUCGCCCCCUGCUGCUCACAGUCAGACAAAAACAAAACGGAACAAAAAAAAAAAAAAA
This is a long non-coding RNA of Monopterus albus (swamp eel), 3075 nucleotides long. RefSeq lists it as uncharacterized. The transcript has 3 exons. The record is from RefSeq and is a predicted model, not a curated record. NCBI's taxonomy places the organism in Eukaryota, Metazoa, Chordata, Actinopteri, Synbranchiformes, Synbranchidae.